CCUACGGGAGGCUGCAGUGGGGAAUAUUGGACAAUGGGCGAAAGCCUGAUCCAGCCAUGCCGCGUGUGUGAAGAAGGCCUUCGGGUUGUAAAGCACUUUCAGUGGGGAAGAAAGCCUUGGGGCUAAUACCCUCGAGGAAGGACAUCACCCACAGAAGAAGCACCGGCUAACUCCGUGCCAGCAGCCGCGGUAAUACGGAGGGUGCGAGCGUUAAUCGGAAUUACUGGGCGUAAAGCGCGCGUAGGCGGUCUGAUAAGCCGGUUGUGAAAGCCCCGGGCUCAACCUGGGAACGGCAUCCGGAACUGUCAGGCUAGAGUGCAGGAGAGGAAGGUAGAAUUCCCGGUGUAGCGGUGAAAUGCGUAGAGAUCGGGAGGAAUACCAGUGGCGAAGGCGGCCUUCUGGACUGGCACUGACGCUGAGGUGCGAAAGCGUGGGUAGCAAACAGGAUUAGAUACCCCUGUAGUC
Molecule: ribosomal RNA, 465 nt
Filed under: Vreelandella stevensii
Lineage: Bacteria; Pseudomonadati; Pseudomonadota; Gammaproteobacteria; Oceanospirillales; Halomonadaceae
Description: partial 16S ribosomal RNA
Rfam family: Bacterial small subunit ribosomal RNA
Source: RNAcentral